CAGGCCGGUAAGGGUGAAAUGGUGCGGUAAGAGCGCACCGGCGUCGCGGUGACGCGGCGGCCAGGUAAACCCCACCUGAUGCUAGGCCAAGCAGGACCGUUCGUAGGUGGCCCGCCAAGGUCCGGGUAGGCCGCAGAGAUGGAUGGCUGCUCUCGACAGGAUCCGGCUUAUAGGUCUGCUAAGGGA
RNAcentral lists this RNase P RNA (186 nucleotides) under Solirubrobacterales bacterium. Its description in RNAcentral is "partial RNase P RNA component class A". It matches the Rfam family "Bacterial RNase P class A", at positions 141 to 367 of the family's 367-position model. From Rfam's summary of the family: Ribonuclease P (RNase P) is a ubiquitous endoribonuclease, found in archaea, bacteria and eukarya as well as chloroplasts and mitochondria. Its best characterised activity is the generation of mature 5'-ends of tRNAs by cleaving the 5'-leader elements of precursor-tRNAs. Cellular RNase Ps are ribonucleoproteins. The record is from RNAcentral. Lineage: Bacteria; Bacillati; Actinomycetota; Thermoleophilia; Solirubrobacterales.